Molecule: long non-coding RNA, 3603 nt
Organism: Ctenopharyngodon idella (grass carp)
Lineage: Eukaryota; Metazoa; Chordata; Actinopteri; Cypriniformes; Xenocyprididae
Exons: 2
Source: RefSeq, a predicted model, not a curated record
CAUAUAGCCCAGGCCGGAAUGCACAGGAACACACAAACAGGGCAACAGUAAGACACAGACACACAAAUAGGGAGAGAGAAUGGUGAGGGAGAAAAAGAGAGAAAGACUUUAUAUUAGUCACAUCAAGCAAAUGCUCACAAUUAAAUCUAUGACUGUGUUUUAGGAAUUAAGCUAAUUUAGUCAGGCAUGUUAAUUUUAAUCGUCUACUAAAAUAAGUAUAUGUUGGCAGAAACGUUAGGUUUUUAAAUAAUUGGUAAGAGAGAGAUUAAAAUGAACAUCUGCAAACAAAUUCACCACUGUAUGGGAUUUAACAGAGAAUUUUACACAUCCAUCCAUUUUCCAAACUGCUUGUCCAAUGCCCAUUUCCUCCACCCUAACUCCUCCUCCACAUUUACACUACAGUUCAAAAGUUUGGGAGCGAUUUUUCAAUGUUUUUGAAAGUCUCUCCAAGGGUGCAUUUAUUUGAUCAAAUACAGAAAAAACAGUGUUAAUUAUGUGUUAUUAUAAAAUGUAAUUUUUCCUGGAAUGGCAAAGCUGAAUUUUCAGCACCAUUACUAAAGUCUUCAGUGUCACACAAUCUUUCAGAAAUCAUUCUAAUAUGUUGAUUUGCUGCUCAAGAAACAUUUAUUAUUAUUAGCAAUGGCAAAAACAGUUGCUUAAUAUAUUUGUGGAAACCAUGAUACAUUUUUUUCAGGAUUCUUUGAUGAAUGGAAAGCAUUCAUUUGAAAUUGAAAACUUUUGUAACAUCUGUAAAUGGUAUUACUGUUACUUUUCAUUUAAUUGAAUGCAUCAUUGCUGAAUAAAAGUAUUUAAAAAAUCUUACAGACCCCAAACUUUUAAAGGUAGUGUAUAAUGAUUUUAUAAUAAUUUCAGAUAUGUUCUAAUUUGUUUUGACUGUAUCAAGCAGUUUCCGCAUAUUCAUUGUGGACGAACAAAGCACUUUCUGCUGGAAGCUCAUGUCAGGGUUUUGUCACUCUCGUUGGUCUUAGUUUGGUGACAGAAGCCUGACACUCAUGUAUCGUCUUGUCUUUGUGUGUUGUGUUUGGGCUGUGUGCUCUCUCAUCUGUGUCAUGUGGAGAUUGGUGUCUGGAUCCCUGUCUAGAUCAGUUUUGGUUCAGUGUCGAGGUCCGGACAGUCAUGCUCCAUGUUUUGUCUUUUGUUGUGAGCAAACAGGUUGAGUGUUCAUUCCCUCACUAUCCUUACAGGUUACAAUGAAGACUAUCCAGUGUUAUUAGGCAUUUGAUUACUUGAUUCAAUUUCUCUAGUAUUUCUGUAGCUGAAUAUGACUGUUGUACCUACCUGAAAAACUUAAAACACUGUUUAUUUCAUUUGUAUAUUUAUAUUGUAUUAUUUGUGCUACUAUUUGCAAUUUGUUUAUCUGUUUUUUUUUUUUUAUUUGUUUAAAAGACAACUUGUCUUUUUUGUAAAUUCAGUUUAAAGUUUGAAAUCAAGCUCCUUUGUGCUGUGUGUAAGCUACUGUGCAACAAAAUUACCCCAUUGUAAAAACACAAAUACAUUGAGUGAGCAAACGUUAGGAGAGAUAAUUGUAAUUCAUUUUCCCCACCUGCUCUCCCUCUGUACCCUCCUUAUUUCCUUUCCUAUUUAUUAUUCCCACUGUGUGCUCUGUCUUGUGUCAGAUCGUCAUCAUAUGUUCCCUAUUGUAUCUAGCCUUGCCCUGCUGUUGAACAGUGUUUUCUCCUACGGGGUAGUUUUUGUUUGUUUUUAAUAAAAAGGCCUUUAAACUCUGCAACUAAAGCUGCGCACACACUUAACGAUUGCAAGGCCGAUUAUGAAUGUAAAUUAAUACGUAUGACUGAUCGUGCUCAAACGCGUCUAGUCAGAGCCAGUUGCGUUCAGUCGGCGAUUACAGUCGGUGUUCAAAUUCCGUGUGUAAGUACAUAAAUCUGUUUCAGUCGAAGGAAACAGUCUUUGUGUGUUGUACUCAGUCUUAGAAUGUUUUAGCUAGUUGUUAAAUGUGUCCCAAGCUUCAGUCCUUGCCUCAUCUCUCAACCACACCUGACAGUUCAUCUCAUCGUCUCAGGUUAUUUAGCUUACAUAUUUAUCUUAAUUUGACAGGAAUGGAGAAAGGGCUCUGAGUGUUUUUGCAUUUUCUGACCAGUGAAUUUCCAUUAUUUUCCCAUUACUUUUACAUUUAUGAUCGAUAAUUGCACUGACUAAAGACAUUUCCAUGACUUUUCAAUCACCUUUUUAUGAUUUAAUCAAUUUCCAUGACUUUUCCAGGCCUGUAAAUUACAUUUUUGAAAUUCUCUGGUAUUUCCAGGUUUUCCAGGACCAAUGUGAACCCUGGGUAUGAAGUACAGUCUGUUCAAUAGGGUGUAUCUUAAAGUCACAGGUCAGGUCUGUUUUACACAACCAACAUUUUCUGGAGUUUCUCAUCCACUGGAACUUUAUAAGGAAAGCUCUGGUAACAUGUGUUUUCAUUGUUUUGUUGGCUAAACUAUAAACUAUACAUCAACAUACACAUCAGUCUUGUUUCCACAUCGAAUCAAAUGUGACCCUGGACCACAAAACCAGUCACAAGUCACACGGGUAAAUUUGUAGCAAUAGCCAAAAAUACAUUGUAUGGGUCAAAAUUAUCGAUAUUUCUUUUAUGCCAAAAAUCAUUAGGAUAUUAAGUAAAGAUCAUGUUCCAUGAAGAUAUUUUGUAAAUUUUCUACCGUAAAUAUAUAAAAAAUUUAUUUUUGUGAGUGGAUAUGCAUUGCUGAGGACAAAUUUAAAGGCGAUUUUCUCAAUAUUUUGAUUUUUUUUUUCACCCUCAGAUUACAGAUUUUCAAAUAGUUGUAUCUCGACCAAAUAUUGUCCUAUCCUAACAAACCAUACAUCAAUGGAAAGCUUAUUUAUUCAUAUGAUACAGAAAACCACACAAUUGACAUGAAAUCAAAUCUAUUCUUCCAAACAUCCAAGUCCAAUACCUUUUGAGAACUCUAACUUACCCAAUAUCAAAUUUUACUAAAUCACCAUAUAUCACUUCUCUAAACUUGUGUCCUGCCUUCUCACGUUAAAUAAAGUUCUGCCAAGAAUCACCUACAAAUCAUGAAAAAUCAGCCCCAGAUGUUCAGCCAGCUGCCACGAUCCUGUGCCACCCUCAGAUACACACAGAUGCGAGCUAAAAGAAGGGUUUGUGACUACGUAGGGAACUAAAGGCACUGCUGAGUCUGCUAUGACCAAAAUCUCCUACUUCCCUUUUAACUCUGUGAAGGAGAGAGGAGGAAGGGGAGCUACACAUGAAAAGAGGAAACGUUCAACGGAAGACCAGGGAAGAAAAGCAGACAUUGGCGAGGACAUGCGUAAGAAAAAGCAGAGAUGGAAGGCAAAAACAUAAGUGCUCAAAGUGGGAAAGAGGGAGUGAUCUCUUUUAGCCAGCCUCUCUACGAACACAACGUGAUAUUUCAGUGAUGUAUUCAUGAAAUUGCAUUUGGACACCUUUACAAAUGCCGGAACUAAUCUGGUUUUCCAUAGCAAAGAGUUAAAAGAAUUGUUCGACCCAAAAUGAAUAUUCUGUCAUCAUUUACUCACCCUCAUGUUGUUCCAAACCUGUAUGACUUUCGUUCCUCUGUGGAAUAUAAAAGAAGAUAUUUUGAA